This is a microRNA precursor of Pteropus vampyrus (large flying fox), 71 nucleotides long. NCBI's taxonomy places the organism in Eukaryota, Metazoa, Chordata, Mammalia, Chiroptera, Pteropodidae. The record is from Ensembl.
ACAUAGGCCGUUAUGAUACAGCCUGAUAAGUGUUACAGCACUUACCAGGUUGUACCGUAACUGUCCGUGUA